RNAcentral lists this ribosomal RNA (87 nucleotides) under Eutypa spinosa. RNAcentral's name for it is "partial 18S ribosomal RNA". The stretch from base 1 to 50 matches the Rfam family "Eukaryotic small subunit ribosomal RNA", at positions 1782 to 1831 of the family's 1831-position model. Lineage: Eukaryota; Fungi; Ascomycota; Sordariomycetes; Xylariales; Diatrypaceae. The record is from RNAcentral.
GUAAAAGUCGUAACAAGGUCUCCGUUGGUGAACCAGCGGAGGGAUCAUUAAAGAGUUAUUUAACUCCCAAAACCACUGUGAACUUAC